CUGAUUGAUUUUUCAGACCAGUCACGACUCACACCUGUAGCUACAGGUUGGAUCACACUCCUGAUGUCCAAGCUUUUGGGGGGAAAUGAACACCUCAGCAAAACUGAUGUUCUUUUAUACAGGAGGAAGAGGGUUGGAAAGGUGGAUGCCUGUUGGCUAGACAACCAAGGAAGUUUUCUUACAAGAAUUUUUAUUUAUUUAUUGUAAGCAAAGGAAUAUAUUCAGCAACUGGAACCCAUAUCACCAGUGAGCAUGGAUUGAACUAGUAAGUGGAGAUUUCCUUCAAAAAAGAAAUAACCAAUCAUGAUAUCAAACUGUUUGACAGUGUGAAAAGUUUGAGAUGUAGACAUGACUAUCUAGAUGCAUCUUUGAAUUCUGAAAGAUCUAAUUAUUUUGCUGUGUGGAGAAGAUCAAGACACAUGACUGGUGAUGAUUUCACCUCUGGAAAACAGUAUCCGGUGCUGGAUGUGGGCGACUCGGGAGUGGGCUCUAGGAGUCUGUAAGGAUACUUGGAUAAGGAAGAAUGGCCCUCUGAUGGCAUCUGAGGAUAGGUUUCUUCUUCUAUGUGUGAAGGAGGGUAAUUGUUACAGUCCCCAAUCCACUUUCCCAGUGUUUGUCAGUAAAGAAACCUCUGGGCCAGGUGGGUUAUGUGACUGUGGAGGGAGAUGAUCCGGCUGAGUAUCAGAAGGUGUACCACUUGCUUUAUGAGGAAGAGAGAGCAAAUAGAAAAGGAAAGCAAGGAGAUUUUUUUCAACUACUCAAAGAAAGUGGAGACAGCAUGGCCCUCAAGGGGAAACUCCUAAGAGGAAUGUAUGAGGACCUCAAGAAAAUGUGCCGUAAACCAGACAUGGAGCUGCUCCAAGUAAGGACUGAAGAAUAAAGAGUGACGGUGCUGACUGAAUCAUGUCCAUAUUCUCUUUGCCCUCCAUCACCACUGUGCAAUGAUGCUUUCUGAUACUGUGCAUUUUGAAGACACAUUAAAAAGG
Long non-coding RNA from Mirounga angustirostris (Northern elephant seal), 986 nucleotides. RefSeq lists it as uncharacterized. The transcript is spliced from 4 exons. The record is from RefSeq and is a predicted model, not a curated record. NCBI's taxonomy places the organism in Eukaryota, Metazoa, Chordata, Mammalia, Carnivora, Phocidae.